GUGAGGAAUUUUCCGCAAUGGGCGAAAGCCUGACGGAGCAAUGCCGCGUGAAGGAUGAAGGCCUAUGGGUUGUAAACUUCUUUUCUCAGAAAAGAAUUAUGACGGUAUCUGAGGAAUAAGCAUCGGCUAACUCUGUGCCAGCAGCCGCGGUAAGACAGAGGAUGCAAGCGUUAUCCGGAAUGAUUGGGCGUAAAGCGUCUGUAGGUUGUUUAAAAAGUAUUCUGUCAAAGAUUAGGGCUUAACCCUAGAUAGGCAGAAUAAACUUUUAAGCUAGAGUUUGGUAGAGGCAGAGGGAAUUCCCGGUGGAGCGGUGAAAUGCGUAGAUAUCGGGGGGAACACCAAAGGCGAAGGCACUCUGCUGGGCCAAUACUAACACUGAGAGACGAAAGCGAGGGGAGCAAAUGGGAUUAGAUACCCUGGUAGUCC
RNAcentral lists this ribosomal RNA (426 nucleotides) under uncultured bacterium. Its description in RNAcentral is "partial 16S ribosomal RNA". It matches the Rfam family "Bacterial small subunit ribosomal RNA", at positions 354 to 796 of the family's 1533-position model. The record is from RNAcentral.